UACGAAGGGGGCUAGCGUUGCUCGGAAUCACUGGGCGUAAAGGGUGCGUAGGCGGGUCUUUAAGUCAGGGGUGAAAUCCUGGAGCUCAACUCCAGAACUGCCUUUGAUACUGAGGAUCUUGAGUAUGGGAGAGGUGAGUGGAACUGCGAGUGUAGAGGUGAAAUUCGUAGAUAUUCGCAAGAACACCAGUGGCGAAGGCGGCUCACUGGCCCAUUACUGACGCUGAGGCACGAAAGCGUGGGGAGCAACAGG
This 252-nucleotide ribosomal RNA is filed under the name uncultured bacterium. Its description in RNAcentral is "partial 16S ribosomal RNA". It matches the Rfam family "Bacterial small subunit ribosomal RNA", at positions 524 to 775 of the family's 1533-position model. The record is from RNAcentral.